This 892-nucleotide ribosomal RNA is filed under the name bacterium. RNAcentral's name for it is "bacterial SSU rRNA". It matches the Rfam family "Bacterial small subunit ribosomal RNA", at positions 9 to 873 of the family's 1533-position model. The record is from RNAcentral.
CCAAGAGUUUGAUCAUGGCUCAGAUUGAACGCUGGCGGCAGGCCUAACACAUGCAAGUCGAGCGGAUGAAGGGAGCUUGCUCCUGGAUUCAGCGGCGGACGGGUGAGUAAUGCCUAGGAAUCUGCCUGGUAGUGGGGGAUAACGUCCGGAAACGGGCGCUAAUACCGCAUACGUCCUGAGGGAGAAAGUGGGGGAUCUUCGGACCUCACGCUAUCAGAUGAGCCUAGGUCGGAUUAGCUAGUUGGUGGGGUAAAGGCCUACCAAGGCGACGAUCCGUAACUGGUCUGAGAGGAUGAUCAGUCACACUGGAACUGAGACACGGUCCAGACUCCUACGGGAGGCAGCAGUGGGGAAUAUUGGACAAUGGGCGAAAGCCUGAUCCAGCCAUGCCGCGUGUGUGAAGAAGGUCUUCGGAUUGUAAAGCACUUUAAGUUGGGAGGAAGGGCAGUAAGUUAAUACCUUGCUGUUUUGACGUUACCAACAGAAUAAGCACCGGCUAACUUCGUGCCAGCAGCCGCGGUAAUACGAAGGGUGCAAGCGUUAAUCGGAAUUACUGGGCGUAAAGCGCGCGUAGGUGGUUCAGCAAGUUGGAUGUGAAAUCCCCGGGCUCAACCUGGGAACUGCAUCCAAAACUACUGAGCUAGAGUACGGUAGAGGGUGGUGGAAUUUCCUGUGUAGCGGUGAAAUGCGUAGAUAUAGGAAGGAACACCAGUGGCGAAGGCGACCACCUGGACUGAUACUGACACUGAGGUGCGAAAGCGUGGGGAGCAAACAGGAUUAGAUACCCUGGUAGUCCACGCCGUAAACGUUGUCGACUAGCCGUUGGGAUCCUUGAGAUCUUAGUGGCGCAGCUAACGCGAUAAGUCGACCGCUCUGGGAAUUUUCGACAACU